Molecule: long non-coding RNA, 813 nt
Filed under: Monodelphis domestica (gray short-tailed opossum)
Lineage: Eukaryota; Metazoa; Chordata; Mammalia; Didelphimorphia; Didelphidae
Description: lncRNA (ENSMODG00000039390.1)
Source: RNAcentral
UACUUUUGUUCCCUGGGGUGAAAAGUGACUAAUGCAUAGGUGAGCAAAAGGUUCAAUUUUGAGGGCAGUUCCAUAGAUGGGAGAGAAAAUGAAACUAUUAGCAUGUGGUAAGGCAGACAAGGUAAGUGAGUGGAUUCAGGGAAUCUAAUUCUCUCAGACAUGUUUCCUUGAUUUUCAUGAAUCUAGUGACAUUCCCUGAUUACUCCAUUGGGCUGGAAACUACAAUCACUGGUGACUGGAGAGAAGCAACACCUGAAGAAGGAAGUGUACUAGUGGGGAAUCAAAGGAAACAAAGUUUUGACAGGAUAUUUGGAUUCCAAGCCAAAGGAAGAGUGAGAGUAACAACCCCCAAAGACAUUUUCAAAAGAAUUCUGGUCAUCUAAUUUCAAAAUAAUUUUUAAAAAUUGAAAGAGUGAUGAAGAGGAUGAUUUCAGAAAGAGUUGGAAAUAUCUUCAUGAACAUAUGCAGAGUGAACUAAGCAGAACAAAGAGCACAUUAUACACAGAACUGCCCUAUCAAGUAAUGCUCAAAUGUGAUAGACUAUGCAACUAACAACAACACAAUGAUUCAGUACAAUUCUGAGGGACUUAAGAAAAAGAAUGCUAUCCCCCUUUGGAGAAGGAACUGUUGGGGGUAGAAAUGCAUAUGAAAACAUAUAAUUUAUCACUUAUUUAUUUUGGUAUAUAUUUUGGGUUUUUGGCUUUAUGAGAUUAUUAAUUUAUAAAAAUGAUUAAUAUGGAAAUGAAAUUGUGUGAUAAUAUAUGUAUAAUUUACAAAAAUAAAAAUUGUUAAGCACAAAAAUUAAUAUAAUUA